GCUGGCGUAGCUCAAUCGGCAGAGCAGCGGUUUUGUAAACCGCCGGUUGCGGGUUCGAGUCCCACCGCCAGCUCCC
RNAcentral lists this transfer RNA (76 nucleotides) under Deltaproteobacteria bacterium. RNAcentral's name for it is "tRNA-Thr". It matches the Rfam family "tRNA". From Rfam's summary of the family: Transfer RNA (tRNA) molecules are approximately 80 nucleotides in length. Their secondary structure includes four short double-helical elements and three loops (D, anti-codon, and T loops). The record is from RNAcentral. Lineage: Bacteria; Pseudomonadati; Myxococcota; Myxococcia.